This 459-nucleotide ribosomal RNA is filed under the name uncultured bacterium. RNAcentral describes it as "partial 16S ribosomal RNA". It matches the Rfam family "Bacterial small subunit ribosomal RNA", at positions 338 to 795 of the family's 1533-position model. The record is from RNAcentral.
CCUACGGGUGGCAGCAGUGAGGAAUAUUGGUCAAUGGACGAGAGUCUGAACCAGCCAAGUAGCGUGAAGGAUGACUGCCCUAUGGGUCGUAAACUUCUUUUAUAUGGGAAUAAAAUGUUCCACGCGUGGGCUUUUGUAUGUACCAUAUGAAUAAGGAUCGGCUAACUCCGUGCCAGCAGCCGCGGUAAUACGGAGGAUGCGAGCGUUAUCCGGAUUUAUUGGGUUUAAAGGGUGCGCAGGCGGCCUGUUAAGUCAGCGGUAAAAGCCCGGGGCUCAACCCCGGCGAGCCGUUGAAACUGGCGGGCUGGAGUUGGAGAGAAGUACGCGGAAGGCGCGGUGUAGCGGUGAAAUGCUUAGAUAUCGCGCAGAACCCCGAUUGCGAAGGCAGCGUGCCGGCUCCACACUGACGCUGAGGCACGAAAGCGUGGGUAUCGAACAGGAUUAGAUACCCGGGUAGUC